UACAGAGGGUACAAGCGUUGCUCGGAAUCAUUGGGCGUAAAGGGUAGGUAGGUGGUCUCAUUUGUCUAGGGUGAAAUCCUUGAGCUUAACUCAAGAAGUGCCCUGGAAACGGUGAGACUAGAGUCCUGGAGAGGGUCGUGGAAUUCCCGGUGUAGCGGUGAAAUGCGUAGAGAUCGGGAGGAACACCAGAGGCGAAGGCGGCGACCUGGACAGGUACUGACACUGAACUACGAAAGCGUGGGUAGCGAACAGG
RNAcentral lists this ribosomal RNA (253 nucleotides) under uncultured bacterium. RNAcentral's name for it is "partial 16S ribosomal RNA". It matches the Rfam family "Bacterial small subunit ribosomal RNA", at positions 524 to 776 of the family's 1533-position model. The record is from RNAcentral.